CGGUAUUAAAGAUGAAGAAGACGAAGAAGAAGAAGAGUAAGAAGGGCGGAAUGUGGGAGGGAGUACAUAUGCGCCAGUAGAUGCGUCAGUAGAAAUUGGUAACACUAGAUUUAUCAAACAUCCUUUCUCUUCUCUUUUCAUCAUCAUCUUCUUCUUCUUCCUCUUCUUUCUUCUUUUUCA
Molecule: non-coding RNA, 180 nt
Filed under: Brugia malayi
Lineage: Eukaryota; Metazoa; Nematoda; Chromadorea; Rhabditida; Onchocercidae
Source: RNAcentral